RNAcentral lists this long non-coding RNA (250 nucleotides) under Elaeis guineensis (African oil palm). RNAcentral's name for it is "long non-coding RNA (EGUI_LNC043414)". The record is from RNAcentral. Lineage: Eukaryota; Viridiplantae; Streptophyta; Magnoliopsida; Arecales; Arecaceae.
CUAUGAGGACAAGUUAUACAAGAGAUCAUACUCUUUGCCCUUCUAAAAUGCCUCCGACCUUCGGAAGCUAAAUACGCCCUGUGGGAGGUGCAUGAAGGAAUCUGCGGAAGCCAUCUGGGGGGCUAGAUCUUUAUCCCACAAGUUGCUCCGCCAAGGAUAUUACUGGCCGACAAUGCAUCAUGACUCGAUUGAGUACGUCAGAAAGUAUGACCGAUGUCAGAGAUAUGCCAACAUCCAGAGACAGCCCGCC